RNAcentral lists this unclassified non-coding RNA (184 nucleotides) under uncultured fungus. Its description in RNAcentral is "sequence contains ITS1, 5.8S rRNA gene". The record is from RNAcentral. Lineage: Eukaryota; Fungi.
CUGAAAAACUACUUGAGUUUUUGGUUGCAUCCUAUUGUUUAAUUCACCCUAUUGCUUCCACAGCAAUAAGCUCCCCAUCUGUUGUGUGUGGGACCUUUUGAUCAUAUAUGCCAUCAAGUGGGAGGACCAUUUAUAAAAAUUCGUUGAGAACCACUUUGUCUGAAAAUUUUGCUUCAACAUAAUA